Molecule: long non-coding RNA, 3617 nt
Filed under: Malus domestica (apple)
Lineage: Eukaryota; Viridiplantae; Streptophyta; Magnoliopsida; Rosales; Rosaceae
Description: long non-coding RNA (MDOM_LNC015330)
Source: RNAcentral
CAGCAUUAUCAAAUUUACUCCUCGGCCGAGCCUCGGCCGACGAGUUGGCACGCCCCGCAAUCACCGAAGGACGUAGUUAGCUUAUUAAUUACUCAGCCUGCGCGCCACGUAGGCUUUGUAGUUUCUAGGGUCAACAACUACCCUCUGAUGGGGUUAUACAGAUGUCUCCGAAAGGUAAGAAAAAUAAACCACAUCAUUCAAAAAUAAGAAAAGUAAAUCACAUCUUUCUGGUGGGGUGUUUAUUCCUUGCUUUUGCAGUGUCCCCAUAUGCCUCCCUUUUGCUUUCUGCUUUUUUCUUUUCUGCUGCACUUCUCUCUGUCUCUUCACCUGGCAGACAAAAAGAAUCAUAAUAAUAGGCUUAUCUUUUGCUUUUGUAUUUUCUCUGCAACUUUGAAGCUUGCCUCGCUUAAAAAGACGAAUAGGGGUGACAGCUUGCACCUCCCUCUUUUGCUUUUGUCGUUCUCUUUUCACUUUCUCAUAAAAUAAUUUCACAUGGCAUUAUCCUUUUACUUUCUCACAUCCAUGAAACCGCAAGCACAGCUUUCUCCUUUUGCUUUAAUUUUUCAAUUAACCAUUUUCCCCUCACACAGUCCAUUUCCAGAUCUCUACUUUCAUCAUUGGUUUUUCUUGAUUGAUGUUCCUCUGCAGAUUUUGAGCUUGAGAUCCACUGAGCACAUGGAGGGCAACCACACAAUCACCAGGCUGACCCAUCUGGACCAGAGCCCACAUCAAUAGCUCUCUACUCUUCGAGUCUAGCUUCUGCUCCUUGUGAGGAGGUAGGCGAGGAAGGAAUGGAGACCCACAUAAACUUGACAAAUCUGGCAGUGACUGAACUCAUUCUCUCUGCUGAAAAACGCAGUCAGUAUAGGGAAAUCGAAUUGGGAAGAAAUGUGGACUGUGGAUGCUUCAAGGAGGAUUUAGGUGUCAGGAGGCGUGAUCGAACUGAUUGCGGAGGAGAAUGGCGGACGUUGCUCGGGCCUCGGCGGCUGGAGAGAACCGGAAAAGGUGAGCGAGUUUGAGGCAGAACGCGGCGACACAACAAGCUGAUCCCAUGAUCGUCCAGAUACCGUAAGUUCUGACGGUGAACCAAAAUUUCACGUGCGUUUCAUUCAGUUUAGGAUUUUAGACAUUGAAAUAGGUCUUCAUCUUCUUCUCCUGCAUAAAACUGAGAGAGGAUGAGGUUGAGGGUGAAAUGGCAGAAGCAACGGGCCUGGAGGCUUUUCUUGACGGCGGAAUCUACAGCGGGGACGAUGAAUCCACUUGCUCAUUUGCUCAAUUCCAACAACACAUCCACUGAGAGGCAGAGAGAUUGGAUUCAAAUUGAGAAAAUUUUGGAAGACGGGGACUGAUUACUCGCGGUAGAUGGUGGCCUCAUAGAGGAUUGAACUGGCCUCUGUGGAUGAUGUGCUGGAAUCCCAGUUGGCCGCAUUUGAGAACUAGAACCGAGUGAACCCAUCAUCCCCAUUCCCUGCAUUGACGGUCUCACCUGGGAAGGACUGGAAUUGGAUACAGAUUCAGGCACAGAGACACCGCAGCGGCCCAUCCCACCAAAAUGAUGCCCAUAGGAAGACGAAUACGGAGUGGGUUUCUUUUCUUUCUUUUUUUCUGGGUUUUUGUGAUUUUGCAGAUUCAAGGUGGAGUGUGGUGAGGUCUCACAGUGGUGAGAUAAAAAAAAUGAAAAAGAACCGACAUAGCUUUUUGUGUCGAUUCCCACAGACGGUGCCAAAUGUUGAUGCACAAAACUGGAGGUCUUGGAACAACGUAAAUCCGACUGUGAAUCUGCAAAAAAUGUAAAUAACACAAGAUGUAUCGUGGUUCACCCCAAGAUUUGGGCUACAUCCACACUGAUUAUUGUAUUUCUCUGUUUAUGAGCCUUGUGGCUUUGUAUGUGAGGGAGAGAGAUUCAGAGCCUCUGAGGGAGAGAGUGAGGCCUCUGAUGGCCUAGGAAUUGGUCUCCUCUAAUUAUGAGGGUGAUGGGUCCUUUUAUAGAAUAAGGGCUCCUCACUUAUUACAUAUUUGCCCCUACCUUUAUUACAUAAUUACAUUUGAGUCUCCUGAGUAUUUAUACAAGAUCUAAAUACGGAGGCCCUAAGUAUGGUACAAACAUGUUGCAAGUUCACUUUGGUUGAUGGCGGCCGAUUGAAUGAUUAAAGGGAGGACAAGGUCUGCAAAUUAAGGAUCACACGUAUUGCCUUAACAAAACCCUAAAAAGAAUUUGGGCAUUGUGUCAUAUUGUGGAAACAUACACAUGGAAAGAGAAAGGCAAAGGACAUGAGUGGAGAAACCAGGCUAGAAAGUAGAACAACCCCAUUUAUUUGCUCCCAUGGAGUACCACCCUUUUGCUUCAAAGUCCCUCUCAUGUGAUUUAAUACAAGCCACGGAAUAAAAUCUAGUGCUCGCUUGGCGUGUGGGUGUUUUUUAAAAGUACCCCCAAUAUUCGAGAAAAGGGUCACAACGAUUCUUUUAUAAAUUAGUAGUUGAACAGUUGUAACCCGGAGUUGUAUACACCGCAAUAUUCAAUUCUCCAAUGAUUGCAUCAUUGACGGGGGAAUGCUUAUUAUUGUAAUUAUAUAUAAUGUGGUAGUACGGAAUUGUAUUUGAAUUUCUUUGAACCAGAAAAUAAAAGUUCAUGAAGACAUAAGGGGCAGUCCAAUUAUACGGAGAUAAUUUUCCACACUAUAUAUGGUUUGCUUUCACGCUGCUCCACCAAAAGAUAAAAAGAGCACAGUUUUUUUGCUUGGCACCCAAAGAAACACAUGUUCAUUUGAAAUUAUUUAAACUUUUGAAACAUAAAAUUCAAUUUUUCGGCCAAAUGUCGUGCCUUUAUGUUUUAAGGCAUCAUGAUAUGUUUUUACGAAGAAAAAAAAUACAUUAUAUUAUAUUAUAUUAACAUGAGAUUACUUAGCAUUUUGCACGCAUGUGUCCUAUUUUUUUACUUACCUUAUCUCUACAUAUUUAACAGAUCAAAACAUAAAGUGGGUGCAAAACAUAAAAUAUUGACGAACAUAGUUGCACUUUUGCAUUAAUGGUCCUCGUGGUAAAAGGUAAUCAGAAGAUAGUCCAUGUGGUAAAAACAAAUUAGGAACUUAGAUUAAUGGUUCCCGUUGUGAUAUGAUAACUGAACUUUAGACUGAGUUGAUCGGUGAAAUAAUUGUUUUAUGCAUAAUGCUUGUGUUCCUUUUAUGGGGGACUUGUCUCCAAGGUUUUACAAGACCCUAGGAGCUAGUCAGGUAGCAAACUGGGGUUUAGCUCUUAUGUGGACUAGGCGGAUUUAAAUAAAUUUAUUAUAUAUUGUAUAAAUAGUGUCUGCUUAUAAGUAAAAAAAUAUAAAUUUCAUUGGGAUACAUAAAUUGCAAAAUUGAAUGACAAAUAGAUUAUAAAGUAUCAGAACAUAACAAAAAUAUGGGAAACAAAGCAUAUAAUGGGUGUUUAUUCAAGUAUUUACAAGUGUCUUACAAUUUAUUAAAAAAUAAAAUGUAAAAUAAAAGUUAUAUAUUUUCUGUCUAAACGAGAUUCGCUACCUAGACGGGUUUGGAUGGUCUAGGUGGGUGCCUACACAGGUUCAGGCACCCUUUCGUAAUUUCUAAAUGCCUACAUAUUACUCGGGGUGGUGGCCA